UCGAACGAGAAUCUUGUGCUUGCACAAGAGGAAAGUGGCGGACGGGUGAGUAAUGUGUAGAGAAUCUGCCCUGAAGAGGGGGACAACAGAGGGAAACUUCUGCUAAUACCCCAUAUGCGCGUAGUUGAGAUACUAUUCGUGAAAGAUUUAUCGCUUCAGGAUGAGUCUGCAUCUGAUUAGCUAGUUGGGGGUGUAAUGGACCACCAAGGCGACGAUCAGUAGCUGGUUUGAGAGGAUGAUCAGCCACAAUGGGACUGAGACACGGCCCAUACUCCUACGGGAGGCAGCAGUAGGGAAUUUUGCGCAAUGGGCGAAAGCCUGACGCAGCAACGCCGCGUGAUCGCAGACGGCCUUCGGGUUGUAAAGAUCUGUCAGUAGGGACGAACAAUGACUGUACCUACAGAGGAAGCACCGGCUAACUCCGUGCCAGCAGCCGCGGUAAUACGGGGGGUGCGAGCGUUGUCCGGAAUCAUUGGGCGUAAAGAGUUCGUACGUGGUUUGUUAAGUUUGGUGUUAAAGGCGCACGCUC
Molecule: ribosomal RNA, 529 nt
Filed under: uncultured rumen bacterium
Lineage: Bacteria
Description: bacterial SSU rRNA
Rfam family: Bacterial small subunit ribosomal RNA
Source: RNAcentral